UAACAAGAUUAGGGUGGGGCAACCAGCCUUUCCUGAGCACUAUGUAAACGUCAUAGCUGAUCAAACCAAUCUGUGAGCCCUAUGUAAAUCAAGACACAUUAAAACAGUCCACACUAAAUCAGACACUGCCUCCUCAAACUGGUGUCUUCACUACCAGCCAGUCCUUUCCAUUCGGAGACCUCUUCUUCUAUAGAGGAAGCUAUUUCUCUUUUCUCUUCUACCUAUUAAACCUCUGCUCCUAAACCCCUUGUGUGUGUCUGUGUCCUAAAUUUUCCUGGCCUGUGACAAUGAUAAAUAUAUACCUGAGGGCAUAUACCCCAGACAAUGUAGCCACUUCACCAGGUUCAAGUUAUUCUCCUGCCUCAGCCUCCCCAGUAGCUGGACUACAGGCAUGCACCAUGCCCAUCUAUUGACCAAUAUCAGCUGGAAGUGAGUUUCAGUUUCUCUCUGGCCCCACCAUGGUCAGCCCCAACCAUCCUCCUGAUUGCCUUGGAAGAAUAGCCUUCGAAAUUGGACAUCUGCAUCCAGAUAGAUGGAGUGUCACUCUGUCCCCCAGGCUGGAGUGCAAUGGUGUUAUCUCGGCUCACUACAACAUCUGCCUCCCAGGUUCAAUCAAUUCUCCUGCCUCAACCUCCCGAGUAGCUGGGACCACAGGAGCAGGCCACCACGUUCAGCUGAUUUUUGUAUUUUUAGUAGAGAUGGGGUUUCACCAUGUUGGCCAGGCUGGUCUCGAACUCCUGACUUCAAGUGAUCCACCCACCUCGGCCUCCUAAAGUGUUGGGAAUACAGGCAUGAGCCACCUCACCUGGCCUAAAAUAUACAUUUUAAUAAUGGUGACAUAAUUUGGUAGCCAAAGAAACUGCUUUGAAUGUUCCAGGCUAUUGGGCCAUUGAUGGGGAAUUAAAGUAGGUUGAAAUUUAAUCAGUUGAUAUUACUUUGUAAGGCUAAUUUUUUUCCUUUUUGAAAUGAUUUCAUUAAUAGCUGACAUAUUUAUUUUGCAACAAGCUACUUACAAUAAAGGAAUAAUAGUCUA
Molecule: long non-coding RNA, 1033 nt
Filed under: Homo sapiens (human)
Lineage: Eukaryota; Metazoa; Chordata; Mammalia; Primates; Hominidae
Description: HSALNT0359710
Source: RNAcentral